GGUGAAAAUCGCACGUACGGUUCUUAGAGGGGGAAAGCCCGAGAGGGCCUACCUAUCUCGACUAUUUAAUUCGAUAAUCCGCGAAAAAUCUUACCACAAUUUGUAUAAUAUUAAAUUAUUACAAGCGUUGCACGGCUGUCUGCAGUUAAUGUCGUGAGACAUGGUUAAUUCCUUUAAUUAACGCAAACCCUUACUUUAUUUAUCUGUAUAAAGUUACUCGCUAAAAAAAUGGUUAGAGAAUAGGGACCAAGACAAGUCAUCAUGACCAUAAUAUUGUGGGCUAUAGACGUGCCACACACGCCUUAACAAAAGGAUGCUAUAUUGUAAAAUGGAGCUAAUCCUUAAAAUAGGAUAUAAUAUGGAUUGUUGUCUGUAACUCGACAACAUGAAUAAGGAAUUACUAGUAAUCGUGAAUCACCACGUCACGGUGAAUUUAUAAUCAGUUAGGUACUAACCACUCGUCAGGCGCUGAAAGAAGUAUGUGCAAUAAGUUUGAUUUGUGUUUAUUUUAAUAAAUAUUUUAAUAUAUUUAUAUAUUUACAUUAAAUUUUCGUAUGUAUGACUUCAAUUGGUGUUAAGUCGUAAUAAGGUUCGUGUAAUGGAAAUUGCACGGG
The sequence is a ribosomal RNA, 614 nucleotides long. It matches the Rfam family "Bacterial small subunit ribosomal RNA", at positions 875 to 1520 of the family's 1533-position model. The record is from Rfam.